CUCCCUCCUCGCUCAUGAAAACACGUGCUUUCAUUAUCAACCUCUCCGAAACUCUCAAAUUCUUCAUCGAGUUCCCCUUCAUUGGAUACAAACGAGAGCGACACUCGCCUAAUAGAUCCGUACAACAUGUCCCCAUCAAGAGGAACCGUGUUCCUUAUCAAGAGGUGACGAAACUCUUCCUCCAGCCUCGACAUAGCAACCUGGACAGCGUUCUCGGCCCGGUCAAUGAUCUCGUUAUUAGACCGGAUAGACAAAUCAUCCAACAAGUCGAGAAUUUCGUCUACAGCAGUCAGAUAUUCAGCAGCCUCAUUGGGUGCUUCAUCCCAUGAUGGGGCAGAGUGGCGGGAGGAAUCCCAACGGAAAAUGACUUUCUCGGCGACAUCCAAUCGGGACUGCGGAUUAGAUUCGUCUUUGAUCAAAUCGGUUAUAUUGGAUAAGCGGUUGUCAAAGCUGGCGAAGAACAUAAGCAUACCUUGGGCGUGUUGAGGCUAUUGACGAUCUGUUGCGCAGUGGCCAAGACCCGAUCGUCGGCGCCGGCGCCGACACUGGGGGUUGUAGUGGUGGCCAUUUCCUGUUGGUUAGCAAUUUUUAGGGUUUGUGUGAGAAAAUGGGAUUUGGGAGGGAAAAUUGGGGAUUGGGAUUGGAGUGGAUUAGAGAUUCAGUGGUGGUGACGGUGGCGUUAUGAGCAUUUCCCUCCCAAAAGAAAGAAAGAAAAAUAAUAAUAAUAAUAAUAAUAAUAAUAAUAAUAAGAAUAAUUUUGAGGGAUUGUUCAAAGACAAGAGAAGUUAAAGAAGUGUUAAUUGUGUGAAAUGAAG
RNAcentral lists this unclassified non-coding RNA (815 nucleotides) under Hevea brasiliensis (rubber tree). Lineage: Eukaryota; Viridiplantae; Streptophyta; Magnoliopsida; Malpighiales; Euphorbiaceae. The record is from RNAcentral.